Dalotia coriaria is the source of this 1648-nucleotide long non-coding RNA. RefSeq lists it as uncharacterized. The transcript has 2 exons. The record is from RefSeq and is a predicted model, not a curated record. NCBI's taxonomy places the organism in Eukaryota, Metazoa, Arthropoda, Insecta, Coleoptera, Staphylinidae.
UAGAAUAGUAAUGGCGUCUGUGUGUGACGUCACGCUUUCGUAAACACUUGACACUUGGCAUGUUAAUCAGUUUAUUUUUCUAUAUUAUUUAAUUAUUUUGAGCUAUAAUGAUGAAUUCUAACGUGUAUCGAUGGUGUGCGGUUCCUCAAUGUAAUAAUACAUCGAUAAAGACUCCGAAUAAGUUGUUCAUUAAUGUUCCAAUAACUAAAAAAGUGAGAAAUACAUGGCUAAAUCUUGCAAGGCGAGACCCAGUUAUUAUAUCGCCAAAUUCAGUACUUUAUUUCUGUGAAGACCAUUUUGAUUUACCAAAUGAUAUGGAAAAUUAUAUGGAAUAUCAUGUGAUGGGUUCAGUUUCACAAGUCCGUAUGAGGUCAGGGUGUACUCCCACAAGAUUUGAAUGCCAACCAGACAGAAGAAAACGAACUUCAACAGAGCGUCCUUAUGUUCUUAAAAAGCAACGGAAAAUAUUAAUUGAAGAUAGUGUAAAAGGUUUAGCUGAGGAAAGUACACCGACAAUUUGUUUAGAAGUCGCUGGCAGUUCAUCUGAUCAUUCAGUUUUGCACACAAUCGAAGAGCAUCAAGAAGAGCCUAAAACCCGGCCGAAAUUGGUUGAUAAAUCAGUACAAGUAUACAUUGGAAAAAAAUUUAGAAGCAAAGCAGUCCAGACAGAAAUGAAAUUAGUAAACCAGUUGACAUCACCAAUGAAACCCGAUUGCUGUUCUAUCUCUACUUCUCCAUUUAAAAUUGAUAGUUGUGGCACUACUAAAGCAAGCACAAGACCUAUUUAAAACUUCAAAGAGAUUGUUUAUUGUAAAAGAUCAAUUGGACAGUGAUGUUUCAUAUACACCAUCUGUAACUGAAUCAUUAUCACCAUCAAUACAAUCUCUUCAAGUGAAAUCCACUUCAGACUGCAGUGAAUUAGUUGAAGAGACAAAGGCAGACGAAGUAUCUGAUAUUCUAAAAUAUACAUUACUUAAAAUAAUGAGAAACCCACGUUCAUACAUAGGUCUACCUAAAAGCUGUUCUUAUUUUAUUGAUUUAAUUGAAGAACAGACAAAAAUCCCCACUAACCAUAGUUUGCUAUGUUUAGAGAAAAUUAGAUUAAAUAGUCCCUUUAAACAACUUGCUGAUGAUCUUUCUAUGAACACUACAUACGCAAGUAAAAUAUUUUUUAAAAAUAUACCAAUACUAGCCAGUGUAAUGGGACCAUUUAUUGUGCCGCUUAAUAAAGAUUUAAUAAAACAGACUUUGCCCAUGGCUUUUAGACACAAAUUUCACCAUACAAGUUGCAUAAUAGACUGUUUAGAAAUCGAAAUACAAAGGCCUUCAAAAAGUGUUAACCAAGCUCUAUCAUGGUCCGAUUACAAAAAAGGCGAAUACCAUCAAAUAUCUAGUGUCUUGUACACCAAAUGGUUUGGUGAAUUAUAUUUCACCAGGCUAUGGAGGAAGAGUAACUGAUACAAGCUUGGUUGAAUCAUGUGAUUUUAUCAGGUAUCUACAGCCUGGUAUGUGUGUGAUGGCAAUAUGUUAAAACCCCAUGCAUGUGUAAAUUUACAUCUUGUUAAAGCACUUGAUGAAGUUAUUGUGAUUGCAUGUGCUCUUAUAAAUUUACAAGACUCUCUUAUUAAAUAAAUCUAUAAAAUUAUAA